Molecule: transfer RNA, 85 nt
Filed under: Denitratisoma oestradiolicum
Lineage: Bacteria; Pseudomonadati; Pseudomonadota; Betaproteobacteria; Nitrosomonadales; Sterolibacteriaceae
Description: tRNA-Leu
Rfam family: tRNA
About the family: Transfer RNA (tRNA) molecules are approximately 80 nucleotides in length. Their secondary structure includes four short double-helical elements and three loops (D, anti-codon, and T loops).
Source: RNAcentral
GCGAAGGUGGCGGAAUUGGUAGACGCACUGGAUUUAGGUUCCAGCGGGGAAACCUGUGCGGGUUCGAGUCCCGCCCUUCGCACCA